Molecule: ribosomal RNA, 251 nt
Filed under: uncultured prokaryote
Description: partial 16S rRNA
Rfam family: Bacterial small subunit ribosomal RNA
Source: RNAcentral
ACGGAGGGUGCAAGCGUUGUUCGGAAUUACUGGGCGUAAAGGGCGCGUAGGUGGUUGCGUAAGUCAGAUGUGAAAUCCUGAGGCUCAACCUCAGAACUGCAUCAGAUACUGAAUGACUAGAGUGCAGCAGAGGGAAACGGAAUUCCUGGUGUAGAGGUGAAAUUCGAAGAUAUCAGGAGGAACACCGGUGGCGAAGGCGGUUACCUGGAAUGACACUGACACUGAGGCGCGAAAGCGUGGGGAGCAAACAG